RNAcentral lists this ribosomal RNA (292 nucleotides) under uncultured bacterium. RNAcentral's name for it is "partial 16S ribosomal RNA". It matches the Rfam family "Bacterial small subunit ribosomal RNA", at positions 505 to 796 of the family's 1533-position model. The record is from RNAcentral.
GUGCCAGCCGCCGCGGUAAUACGGAGGGGGUUAGCGUUGUUCGGAAUUACUGGGCGUAAAGCGCGCGUAGGCGGACUAUUAAGUCAGGGGUGAAAUCCCGGGGCUCAACCCCGGAACUGCCUUUGAUACUGGUAGUUUAGAGUUCGAGAGAGGUGAGUGGAACUCCGAGUGUAGAGGUGAAAUUCGUAGAUAUUCGGAAGAACACCAGUGGCGAAGGCGGCUCACUGGCUCGAUACUGACGCUGAGGUGCGAAAGUGUGGGGAGCAAACAGGAUUAGAUACCCCAGUAGUCC